Molecule: ribosomal RNA, 406 nt
Filed under: Verrucomicrobiota bacterium
Lineage: Bacteria; Pseudomonadati; Verrucomicrobiota
Description: Verrucomicrobia bacterium partial 16S ribosomal RNA
Rfam family: Bacterial small subunit ribosomal RNA
Source: RNAcentral
UGGGGAAUAUUGGACAAUGGAGGAAACUCUGAUCCAGCAAUUCUGUGUGUGUGAAGAAGGUUUUAGGACUGUAAAACACUUUUAGUAGGGAAGAAAAAAAUGACGGUACCUACAGAAGAAGCAACGGCUAACUACGUGCCAGCAGCCGCGGUAAUACGUAGGUCCCGAGCGUUGUCCGGAGUUAUUGGGCGUAAAGCGAGCGCAGGCGGUUAGAAAAGUCUGAAGUGAAAGGCAGUGGCCCAACCAUUGUAGGCUUUGGAAACUGUUUAACUUGAGUGCAGAAGGGGAGAGUGGAAUUCAAUGUGUAGCGGUGAAAUGCGUAGGUAUAUGGAGGAACACCAGUGGCGAAAGCGGCUCUCUGGUCUGUAAAUGACGCUGAGGCUCGAAAGCGUGGGGAGCGAACAGG